GACGAACGCUGGCGGCGUGCUUAACACAUGCAAGUCGAACGGAAAGGCCCUGCUUUUGUGGGGUGCUCGAGUGGCGAACGGGUGAGUAACACGUGAGUAACCUGCCCUUGACUUUGGGAUAACUUCAGGAAACUGGGGCUAAUACCGGAUAGGAGCUCCUGCUGCAUGGUGGGGGUUGGAAAGUUUCGGCGGUUGGGGAUGGACUCGCGGCUUAUCAGCUUGUUGGUGGGGUAGUGGCUUACCAAGGCUUUGACGGGUAGCCGGCCUGAGAGGGUGACCGGCCACCUUGGGACUGAGAUACGGCCCAGACUCCUACGGGAGACAGCAGGGGGGAAUAUUGCACAAUGGGCGGAAGCCUGAUGCAGCAACGCCGCGUGCGGGAUGACGGCCUUCGGGUUGUAAACCACUUUCGCCUGUGACGAAGCGUGAGUGACGGUAAUGGGUAAAGAAGCACCGGCUAACUACGUG
This 468-nucleotide ribosomal RNA is filed under the name uncultured bacterium. Its description in RNAcentral is "partial 16S ribosomal RNA". It matches the Rfam family "Bacterial small subunit ribosomal RNA", at positions 28 to 507 of the family's 1533-position model. The record is from RNAcentral.